CCUACGGGUGGCAGCAGUGGGGAAUAUUGGGCAAUGGGCGCAAGCCUGACCCAGCAACGCCGCGUGAAGGAAGAAGGCUUUCGGGUUGUAAACUUCUUUUCUCAGGGACGAAGAAAGUGACGGUACCUGAGUAAUAAGCCACGGCUAACUACGUGCCAGCAGCCGCGGUAAUACGUAGGUGGCAAGCGUUAUCCGGAUUUAUUGGGUGUAAAGGGCGUGUAGGCGGGAGCGCAAGUCAGAUGUGAAAACUCAGGGCUCAACCCUGAGCCUGCAUUUGAAACUGGGUUUCUUGAGUGCUGGAGAGGCAAUCGGAAUUCCCGGUGUAGCGGUGAAAUGCGUAGAGAUCGGGAGGAACACCAGUGGCGAAGGCGGCCUGCUGGGCUUUAACUGACGCUGAAGCACGAAAGCGUGGGUAGCAAACAGGAUUAGAUACCCUAGUAGUC
RNAcentral lists this ribosomal RNA (443 nucleotides) under uncultured bacterium. RNAcentral describes it as "partial 16S ribosomal RNA". It matches the Rfam family "Bacterial small subunit ribosomal RNA", at positions 338 to 795 of the family's 1533-position model. The record is from RNAcentral.